GAUGAACGCUGGCGGCGUGCCUAAUACAUGCAAGUCGAGCGAACAGACGAGGAGCUUGCUCCUCUGACGUUAGCGGCGGACGGGUGAGUAACACGUGGAUAACCUACCUAUAAGACUGGGAUAACUUCGGGAAACCGGAGCUAAUACCGGAUAACAUGUUGAACCGCAGGGUUCAACAGUGAAAGACGGUCUUGCUGUCACGUAUAGAUGGAUCCGCGCCGCAUUAGCUAGUUGGUAAGGUAACGGCUUACCAAGGCAACGAUGCGUAGCCGACCUGAGAGGGUGGUCGGCCACACUGGAACUGAGACACGGUCCAGGCUCCUACGGGAGGCAGCAGUAGGGAAUCUUCCGCAAAGGGCGAAAGCCUUACGGAGCAACGCCGCGUGAGUGAAGAAGGUCUUCGGAUCGUAAAACUCUGUUAUUAGGGAAGAACAAAUGUGUAAGUAACUAUGCACGUCUUGACGGUACCUAAUCAGAAAGCCACGGCUAACUACGUG
This 497-nucleotide ribosomal RNA is filed under the name uncultured bacterium. RNAcentral's name for it is "partial 16S ribosomal RNA". It matches the Rfam family "Bacterial small subunit ribosomal RNA", at positions 28 to 507 of the family's 1533-position model. The record is from RNAcentral.